Molecule: long non-coding RNA, 1718 nt
Filed under: Lathyrus oleraceus (garden pea)
Lineage: Eukaryota; Viridiplantae; Streptophyta; Magnoliopsida; Fabales; Fabaceae
Description: Pisum sativum (pea) long non-coding RNA (PSAT_LNC022137)
Source: RNAcentral
CAGAGCAAGAGAAGAGGAAAAGCUUGAAGCUAACGGAUUUGCCGGAUUAACUCAGGUAAGGGGGGUUUAUCAUCGAUUAACGGGUAUUAUGGGAUAGUAUGUGAUGGGUAGUGAGAAACCAUUGAAAUUGCCUCUGAUUGAAUGAUAUAUGUGAUGAACUUGUGACUUAUUGAUGAACGAAUUUGGGUGAUGAUUGAUGAGAAAUUCGUAGGAAUUAGAGGUAGAAAGGUUAACAAUUUGUGAAAUCGAAAAUGUAUGAUUCGUGUUAGAUGUUAUGUGUAAUAUUGUGUGAAAUUUGGACUGUGGAAGGGUAAAUUGGAUAGAUCUCGUAGCAGAGAAAGCCAUUGCAGAUCUGAGAGUUCUGGUUUCUGGUCAUACGCGUAUGGCACUAGGCAAUACGCGUAUGAGAUGGCUGGUACGCGUAUGGCACUAGGCAAUACGCGUAUGGAUGAGGAAGAUGAUGUUUUGAACGUGUUUUGGUCUCUGUUGGUACGCGUAUGGGAAUGUGAUACGCGUAGCAUACGCGUAUGGGCGUGGGCAUUACGCGUAUGGAUUUGGUCAGGCGUGGGCAAUACGCGUAUGGGCAUAGGCAAUACGCGUAUGGGCAGAAUUGUGAUUUUCUGUGCUGUUGUUGUGCAGUUUUUGGUUGUUUAGGCUGAGUGAUGUACUUAGCUGAUGUAUGAUGUAGCAGGGAUCAUUUCCCGUUGUUUUGAGUAGUAUAGGUAUUAGUAGAAUGUGCUAAUACUGUAUUUGAUUAUGUGGCAUGAUGUGAUAUGCUUUUGUGAUAAAAUGUAUUGAUGAUGUGUGAUGGUAAGCAUGAUGCUGUGAAUGUAUCAGUUAUGUAUGCAUUUGUGAAUAGACUGUUUUAUGGCUUAGAGUGUGAGCUUAUGUCUAUUCUUGAAUUGUUGCUGUUGUUGUUGCAUUGCUAGGUGAUUAGCAUGCAUAGUCUAGCCUUUGGGGCUGUAGCUAAUUCCCAUGGUGAGGAAUUAGUGAGUGAAUCAUUGUUGAUUUGUUGUUGAUGUUUGCAUGCUAGAUGAUUAGUGUGCAUAGUCUAGCCUUCGGGGCUGUAGCUAAUUCCCAUGGUGAGGAAUUAGUGAGUGAGUCAUUAGAUCUCAAAUGAGUGGGACUAGUGAGCUUAGUAGCCGUAUCUGGAUUUGAUCGGUGAGCUUGAACUGUAUGUUCAAGAAUAGUCGGUACCGCAUGUGUGGAGUCUCAUUUCAUAAUGAAUGUAUGGCAUAUAAUAUGAAUGGAUGUAUUCCAGUAUUAUAUGUGUGUUAUGUGUUGUGUUGUUGAUGUUGAGUAUGGUUGAGAUUAUACAUAUGCUAUAUGUUACUGUUGAAUAUGAUGUUUGAAUGGAUAUUGCCGUUGCUGAGUGCGUAGUCUGAUUAGGGUGAAUUGAUGUGUUAAUUACUUAGCAUUACAUGUUGUUCUAUAAUGCUUAUUAUAUUGAUUGAGGAACUCACCCUUACAACUAUUUUUCAGGUAACGAGCAGUGAGUUGAGUAGAAGCUAGUGCUAUGGAGUCUAGUGUCGUCCUUAGUGGGUCAUGCUCUGGUAGAUGUAACAUCGGGAGGGGAUGUUUGAAUAUGUUUUAAUUCAGUUGUUGAUCAACUUUACAUGUAAUGUAGUACAUGCUUUGAAUGUCGAUGUUUUGUAUCCGCUGCGAAUUAUGCAAAAGAGUCUUAUUUGAUUAAAUAAAUGAGCAUGACAGGAUAUUUU